GUCAGUGUCGUCUAGUGGAUUAGGACGCGAGCUUCACACGCUCGAGAUCGAGGGUUCG
Molecule: transfer RNA, 58 nt
Filed under: Phytophthora infestans T30-4
Lineage: Eukaryota; Oomycota; Peronosporomycetes; Peronosporales; Peronosporaceae
Description: tRNA-Val
Rfam family: tRNA
About the family: Transfer RNA (tRNA) molecules are approximately 80 nucleotides in length.
Source: RNAcentral